AGAACGAACGCUGGCGGCAGGCUUAACACAUGCAAGUCGAGCGCUCGCAGCAAUGCGAGAGCGGCAGACGGGUGAGUAACGCGUGGGAACAUACCCUCCGGUUCGGAAUAGCUCAGGGAAACUUGGAUUAAUACCGGAUACGGCUUAGCGGCGAAAGAUUCAUCGCCGGAGGAUUGGCCCGCGUUCGAUUAGCUAGUUGGCGGGGUAAUGGCCCACCAAGGCGACGAUCGAUAGCUGGUCUGAGAGGAUGAUCAGCCACAUUGGGACUGAGACACGGCCCAAACUCCUACGGGAGGCAGCAGUGGGGAAUAUUGGACAAUGGGCGCAAGCCUGAUCCAGCCAUGCCGCGUGAGUGAUGACGGCCUUAGGGUUGUAAAGCUCUUUCGCUAGGGACGAUAAUGACGGUACCUAGACAAGAAGCCCGGCUAACUUCGUGCCAGCAGCCGC
Molecule: ribosomal RNA, 447 nt
Filed under: uncultured bacterium
Lineage: Bacteria
Description: SSU rRNA
Rfam family: Bacterial small subunit ribosomal RNA
Source: RNAcentral